RNAcentral lists this long non-coding RNA (674 nucleotides) under Homo sapiens (human). RNAcentral's name for it is "HSALNT0253531". Lineage: Eukaryota; Metazoa; Chordata; Mammalia; Primates; Hominidae. The record is from RNAcentral.
AUUCUUGAUAGUGACCAAGGCCCUCAUUUUAUAUCAGAACACAAAACACUGGGCUCUUGAACAAGGCAUUCGAGGGAGAUUUCACCUCCCUCAGCAGCCUCAGGGGAGGGGCCUGGUAGAGCACUUACUUCUACAAAUCCUGCUAUUUAUAAAACAACAUAUGAUCUUCUAAAGCACUGUCCCUCCUGCACAAGGCCAUGCUUAUGCCGAACUCCUGGUCAUUAGGGUCCACGCCUCCUUUUCAAAAUGCAUUUACUACAUCCCAAAUGCCUUUCUUUGCCCUUAAAAUGACAUGACACUAUGGGGCCCAGGAGGACUACAUCGCACCUCUUCCAGCUACCCGUCCUCCAUCUCAGCUCCCAAGCCUGGCCCCACUGGGACAGGGCUGCACAGAAGGUGAACCUUGAGCUGCGACCCCUUCACUAUUUAUCCAGAUGAGAGGCAUCUGUGUAAGCCACAAGCUUUACCAAAAUUUCCAGCUGCGAAGGUGAUUCCAUUGGUAAGACUAGGAAUGAUCUGACUCAGAAAGCAGAAACCACCACGAUAUGGAUCCACACCCACAUCUGUGCAAUGGCAGAAAGAGGCCAAGGAAAGUCAAACGUGGUUUCAACCAAAAGCACCCUCCCCAGUGGAAUGCAGCCGUUCCUGACCACAAAGACCUGGAAUGGGAGUGU